This 497-nucleotide ribosomal RNA is filed under the name uncultured bacterium. Its description in RNAcentral is "partial 16S ribosomal RNA". It matches the Rfam family "Bacterial small subunit ribosomal RNA", at positions 28 to 507 of the family's 1533-position model. The record is from RNAcentral.
GAUGAACGCUGGCGGCGUGCCUAAUACAUGCAAGUCGAGCGAACAGACGAGGAGCUUGCUCCUCUUACGUUAGCGGCGGACGGGUGAGUAACACGUGGAUAACCUACCUAUAAGACUGGGAUAACUUCGGGAAACCGGAGCUAAUACCGGAUAAUAUAUUUAACCGCAUGGUUCAAUAGUGAAAGACGGUUUUGCUGUCACUUAUAGAUGUAUCCGCGCCGCAUUAGCUAGUUGGUAAGGUAACGGCUUACCAAGGCAACGAUGCGUAGCCGACCUGAGAGGGUGAUCGGCAACACUGGAACUGAGACACGGUCAAGACUCCUACGGGAGGCAGCAGUAGGGAAUCUUCCGCAAUGGGCGAAAGCCUGACGGAGAAACGCCGCGUGAGUGAUGAAGGUCUUCGGAUCGUAAAACUCUGUUAUUAGGGAAGAACAAAUGUGUAAGUAACUAUGCACGUAUUGACGGUACCUAAUCAGAAAGCCACGGCUAACUACGUG